CCAAUAUGAAUUGUUCCUCUGUUUGAACAUAAACAAUUUGACAUGACCAUGUUUAAUAUGAAUUACAAAACUGAACAACAGAAAGAGGAUUGUAGAGUUAUAAAAGGAGGGAAAGUGCAUAAGGAAAGAGUUACAGAUACAUAAUGAACACUAUAAUAUGUAAUAAAACUACCAAUUCAUGUUUCUGACAUAAUUCUUAGAGGAUAGGUGUCACAACACUUAUUUUUUCUUGUGUGGUAUAUAAUAGUACUAUUUCCUAGUAUGUACAAAGUUUAUUCUGGGACAAUAGUAAAACUUUUGACCAUACUUACCAAUGAUAUGUAUAACAACCAUAUUUCAGUGUUAUUGACCUGGAAGCUGUCUGGUUCCAGCUAUGUCAAAACCCUUACAAAGGUCUAAAAUUGAUUAAAACAAUCAUGGUCUUUGACGGGUAAAAGAUGUCAGAAGACCAUUAUCAUCUUAUAAAUUCUUAUUCCUAUUUCAAUUUCAGAAUGUUCUUAAAAUCUUAAUAUAUACAUAUAAAUAAAAAAAUAUCUAUAAAAUUUAUGACAUGUCUAAAGGUAUAAAUAUAUAUUAGACCAAAUUUAAAAUCAAGGAGACUAGCUUAUUCACAUCAAUGCUUUAAUGCAUCCACUUUUAAAUUUAAGAUGUUUGAGCUUUAUCAGUUUGCUAGUAUAUAUAUCAACAACCAUAUUAAAGAUUAUUUCUACAAGUUAAAUAUAUCUCAUUGUCAUGAUUGUGUAAUGUUCUCUUUUUUACAGCUCAUUUCAAAUAUUCUAAAAAAAAAAGAUUUAACUAAUUUCAAAGUAGACAUAUAAAAACUGUUUUAAAUCAAAUGUUCAUAUUCAUAAUUAUUAA
RNAcentral lists this long non-coding RNA (858 nucleotides) under Mytilus galloprovincialis (Mediterranean mussel). Lineage: Eukaryota; Metazoa; Mollusca; Bivalvia; Mytilida; Mytilidae. The record is from RNAcentral.